This 71-nucleotide transfer RNA is filed under the name Crocodylus johnstoni (Johnstone river crocodile). Its description in RNAcentral is "Crocodylus johnsoni (Johnstone river crocodile) tRNA-Glu". The record is from RNAcentral. Lineage: Eukaryota; Metazoa; Chordata; Crocodylia; Crocodylidae.
GUUUUUAUAGUUGAAAAUACAACGGGGGUUUUUCGUGCCCUAGGUCUUGGUCUGGAAUCCAAGUGAGAAUA